UACGUAGGGGGCUAGCGUUGUCCGGAAUCAUUGGGCGUAAAGCGCGUGUAGGCGGUCCGGUAAGUCCGCUGUGAAAGUCGGGGGCUCAACCCUCGGAUGCCGGUGGAUACUGUCGGGCUUGAGUACGGAAGAGGCGAGUGGAAUUCCUGGUGUAGCGGUGAAAUGCGCAGAUAUCAGGAGGAACACCAAUUGCGAAGGCGGCAUCCUGGACCGGCAUUGACGCUGAGGCGCGAAAGCCAGGGGAGCAAACGGG
RNAcentral lists this ribosomal RNA (253 nucleotides) under uncultured bacterium. Its description in RNAcentral is "partial 16S ribosomal RNA". It matches the Rfam family "Bacterial small subunit ribosomal RNA", at positions 524 to 776 of the family's 1533-position model. The record is from RNAcentral.